AAAUUGAAGAGUUUGAUCAUGGCUCAGAUUGAACGCUGGCGGCAGGCCUAACACAUGCAAGUCGAGCGGUAGCACAGAGAGCUUGCUCUCGGGUGACGAGCGGCGGACGGGUGAGUAAUGUCUGGGAAACUGCCUGAUGGAGGGGGAUAACUACUGGAAACGGUAGCUAAUACCGCAUAACGUCGCAAGACCAAAGUGGGGGACCUUCGGGCCUCAUGCCAUCAGAUGUGCCCAGAUGGGAUUAGCUAGUAGGUGGGGUAACGGCUCACCUAGGCGACGAUCCCUAGCUGGUCUGAGAGGAUGACCAGCCACACUGGAACUGAGACACGGUCCAGACUCCUACGGGAGGCAGCAGUGGGGAAUAUUGCACAAUGGGCGCAAGCCUGAUGCAGCCAUGCCGCGUGUGUGAAGAAGGCCUUCGGGUUGUAAAGCACUUUCAGCGGGGAGGAAGGCGAUAAGGUUAAUAACCUUGUCGAUUGACGUUACCCGCAGAAGAAGCACCGGCUAACUCCGUGCCAGCAGCCGCGGUAAUACGGAGGGUGCAAGCGUUAAUCGGAAUUACUGGGCGUAAAGCGCACGCAGGCGGUCUGUCAAGUCGGAUGUGAAAUCCCCGGGCUCAACCUGGGAACUGCAUUCGAAACUGGCAGGCUAGAGUCUUGUAGAGGGGGGUAGAAUUCCAGGUGUAGCGGUGAAAUGCGUAGAGAUCUGGAGGAAUACCGGUGGCGAAGGCGGCCCCCUGGACAAAGACUGACGCUCAGGUGCGAAAGCGUGGGGAGCAAACAGGAUUAGAUACCCUGGUAGUCCACGCCGUAAACGAUGUCGAUUUGGAGGUUGUGCCCUUGAGGCGUGGCUUCCGGAGCUAACGCGUUAAAUCGACCGCCUGGGGAGUACGGCCGCAAGGUUAAAACUCAAAUGAAUUGACGGGGGCCCGCACAAGCGGUGGAGCAUGUGGUUUAAUUCGAUGCAACGCGAAGAACCUUACCUGGUCUUGACAUCCACAGAACUUUCCAGAGAUGGAUUGGUGCCUUCGGGAACUGUGAGACAGGUGCUGCAUGGCUGUCGUCAGCUCGUGUUGUGAAAUGUUGGGUUAAGUCCCGCAACGAGCGCAACCCUUAUCCUUUGUUGCCAGCGGU
RNAcentral lists this ribosomal RNA (1133 nucleotides) under Klebsiella pneumoniae. RNAcentral's name for it is "bacterial SSU rRNA". It matches the Rfam family "Bacterial small subunit ribosomal RNA", at positions 1 to 1125 of the family's 1533-position model. The record is from RNAcentral. Lineage: Bacteria; Pseudomonadati; Pseudomonadota; Gammaproteobacteria; Enterobacterales; Enterobacteriaceae. RNAcentral also lists the same sequence under 3 other names.